Molecule: long non-coding RNA, 2069 nt
Filed under: Scleropages formosus (Asian bonytongue)
Lineage: Eukaryota; Metazoa; Chordata; Actinopteri; Osteoglossiformes; Osteoglossidae
Description: lncRNA (ENSSFOG00015030694.1)
Source: RNAcentral
AUGCUUCGGCGCUUUGCCUCGGCGCUCUCGGAGGCUCCUUCCGUGGAACUCUGCGUGACGCCCGUCGAUCCCACACUCUCCACUUCCAGCUCCGUGGCCGUGUUUACCUGUUCCUCCUGGGAGGGCAGGGCCAUGGACGCGGGCAUACCUGGUGUCCCGCCAGCAGGUGCCGGGGUGGACUGGGAGUUUGCUGACUCAUCUGGGACCCCUGAAGGCUCCUCUCUAGCGAAGGGGACAGGUGAGGGUGUGCCCUCAACCGCCACUGCCCCCAGGUGCGUCUCCAUCCACACGAGGCUGGGGUUCACCUGUUUGUUUCGUGGCUGCUCCUGCUCACCUCCCCGGGACUGUGGGGACUUUAUGGAAACAAGGUCAGCAUCAUCAGGAGCACUGCUUUCCUGGGAUUUACGAGACCUCCUCCUCCCUGAGUUUUUCUUGCCCAUGUCGUCGCUCUCUGCCUGCCCUGGAAUUGUGUCAGAGGUUGACAGCGUUCUAACCGUCGAGCUCAGCGACACCUCAGCGACUGCUGUGUACUUUUCUCCGCCACCGGCAGCAGGUUUAAUCGAUGUCUUUUUAUUCACAGCCUCCUCAUCAACAACAGGGGGCGAUCCCGUGCCCUUUUGGCCGGCCUUAGGUAUGAAAGUAACAGCCCUGAUGGUCUGGACUACUUCCUGGCUAUCGCCAGGCUCCGCCCCCCUGCUUAUGCUCGUUUCGUCCAGGUACACCUGCAACUUCUUAUUCACACCACCCACCAGUUUGCGCGGGUCUGGCGGAGAGCCCUUGGCCCGUUUCCGCUCCCCUCCCUGCGGGAGGCGACGACGGGUUGUCGCUUCACCACCCUCCUUGCGCUGCACUACUUCGCGCACGCUGCCGCGGCCGCUGCUGUCGCUGUCGGCGAAGGGGAGGUCGCCCUCCUCCGGCGUAGACGCCUCGCCCCCCAGCUCGGCCCCUUCUAAGCGCUCCUCAGAAACGGACACUUGGGGGGCGUUUGCCUCGUACCCAGGUUUCCCCGGGGGGGUCCUCAGGCCUUCCUGCUCCGGAGACUUGGCGGCGCCAUCGUCGGACGCAUCCGAGAAGGUUCUGCUGCCUUUGCGACGCCGGGAGCUGAAGAAGCUGCCGAUGCGGUUGAGCACUCCGCCCUUGUCCUCUGCGCUGUGCGCCUGGAAGAGACGGGAAGGGGAUGAGUUCCACCGACAGCCCCGCGGAGCCACGGCGGCAGGGCCGAUUACGGGCUAUGGUGUGAGGUGCAGAGAAGGCAGCGAAGGCAGCGGCCGAAUAUCUUGUCGGCCUUCGUGCCCCACUGAAGAAUGUAUGCGCCGCAUGCUUCGGCGAGUUCCGGCGGUGCCCGUGAAAGGCAACCCCUUAUGCGGAAAUUCAUUCUUUAAUUUGCAAAAACGCGGCAGGGAACUCUACCUCCGCGGCAGGUUCGUCUCCUCGUCAAAGUAGCACGAAUCAUUUCAGCUUUACGCGACACGGCAGUGUAUUAAAAAUAGGAUUCAAUUAACUUCCAUCGCAGUGUUUUGUCUCAUUCGUUUUCCCGUAUGGGACCUUUCGUUUGCUGCCUUAAUCGGGUUACCCUGGCUGAACCGCUCCAGUAAAAAUACAGCUGCAGAUGGGUCCCUGAGUGCAGUCCUCAGAGCUGACCAUCCUGUAGUACCGUACACGCGUGUUCGUGCAGGGAUCACGUAAGAUGAACAAUUUGGGAGGGGUCAGUGGCCUCUCCACUUCUUUUGUAAAACUGCCCCCGGCACAGAAACCCCACCAGGAUGGACGGGCAGGUCUGACAUAUUCUUUGUGAUAAAGACAGACCUGCUGCAGGUGACAGUGGACCCAAACCCCAUCCUGCCCACCUCCAGGGUGCCAGGCUCGUACGAGGGCAGAUCAGAAACCAACCGCUCACAGGGCUUUUGCAUAUUUGAUUGCAAAAUAGCCAUGAAAUGCGGAAGAACAAAGAGCGGCGCCCAGCCUGAGGCUUUUUCCUACUUCGUCUUCCAGUGAAGCUGCGGUUCUGAAAUCCAGAGCAGAAAAGCAGCAAACUGGUCCCUUAGAAGGUAAGCCUUUACUGUUUGUCA